GGGAUAACAGUUAGAAAUGACUGCUAAUACCGCAUAAGCGCACAGGACCGCAUGGUCCGGUGUGAAAAACUCCGGUGGUAUGAGAUGGACCCGCGUCUGAUUAGCUGGUUGGCGGGGUAACGGCCCACCAAGGCGACGAUCAGUAGCCGACCUGAGAGGGUGGCCGGCCACAUUGGGACUGAGACACGGCCCAAACUCCUACGGGAGGCAGCAGUGGGGAAUAUUGCACAAUGGGGGAAACCCUGAUGCAGCAACGCCGCGUGAGUGAAGAAGUAUUUCGGUAUGUAAAGCUCUAUCAGCAGGGAAGAAAAAAGACGGUACCUGACUAAGAAGCCCCGGCUAACUACGUGCCAGCAGCCGCGGUAAUACGUAGGGGGCAAGCGUUAUCCGGAUUUACUGGGUGUAAAGGGAGCGUAGACGGCAUAGCAAGUCUGAAGUGAAAGCCCGUGGCUCAACCGCGGAACUGCUUUGGAAACUGUUAAGCUGGAGUACUGGAGAGGCAAGCGGAAUUCCUAGUGUAGCGGUGAAAUGCGUAGAUAUUAGGAGGAACACCAGUGGCGAAGGCGGCUUGCUGGACAGAGACUGACGUUGAGGCUCGAAAGCGUGGGGAGCAAACAGGAUUAGAUACCCUGGUAGUCCACGCGGUAAACGAUGAAUGAAAGGUGUUGGCGGGCAAAGCCCGUCGGUGCCGCCG
Molecule: ribosomal RNA, 694 nt
Filed under: uncultured bacterium
Lineage: Bacteria
Description: bacterial SSU rRNA
Rfam family: Bacterial small subunit ribosomal RNA
Source: RNAcentral